This 847-nucleotide long non-coding RNA is filed under the name Salvia miltiorrhiza (redroot sage). RNAcentral's name for it is "long non-coding RNA (SMIL_LNC006324)". The record is from RNAcentral. Lineage: Eukaryota; Viridiplantae; Streptophyta; Magnoliopsida; Lamiales; Lamiaceae.
CAUGAAAUUUUGUAUUCUAAAUCACUUCCAAAAGCCAAAGUGGAGACAAAAAUGGUGAUUGCUAGUAAUAUACAAGUAGAUGAAGGAGUAAUUGAAUAUUUAACGAGAGCGGCAGCGAUCUACAAACUCCCAAAACGAACUCUUUCUUGGGGUUUUUGUUAGAUUGGUGUCGUUUCUCUUGAGCAUCUCCCACAGCACGUGGACAUCCUCGUAUUCGCACGACCUCACGUCGUGCUGCAAUUUUACAUGCCCUGCAAUGCAACUCACACCAUUUUAUUUUAUAUAUACUUUUAUUAUCAAUAAAUUAACAUGGAUAUGUAUCUUUCUUUGCGUAAAUUAGUAUGUAAUGCAAUCAAAUAGAGGGUUGACUUGAUUUUGGUUUUUAACGUGUUUAAUUAUAAAGUAUUGCACUUUUCAAUUUCUAGUAAAAAGUGGUGUUAUGAAUGUAACAAUUUAUGGAGAACCUGAAGAUCUGCUAAGACGGAUCUUUCUAGAAAAUUUGGUCCAAGCUUUCCUCAUCGGAGUCAUCAUUUUGUUCCAGCUCUUCAUCGUCAUCUUCAAAUAACACGAUUUAGGAUUGAUCCACUAAAUUUUAAUCAAUCCCAAUAUUUAAGGAUGAGACAAAUCAAGGAGUAUCAGUCAUAUCCCCUAUUAAUUGUUUGAGGAAAAAGACAAAAAGAUUCGCAUAAGAAAUCAGUUGAAGAGAAAAGAUGAAAAUUAUAAGAAAUUCUGGAAAUUUUCACGUACCAACAUGUGUGAGAGAUGCUAUGCGUAUGCCUUAUUAUGGAAGUGCACAGGAAGAGAUUUCUGAUCGACAGACCAAGAAAAAUGAAAACUGUUGCUGUUU